GUACAGCCUGCUGCUGACGCUCAGCAGGUGCUUCUCCCUGAGGGAUGGAAGCAGACCCUCCCAAAGGAGCAGCAAGAGUGGGUCAGUCGGGCCAUUUUCACAAGGGACAAGUAGCUCAAAUGUGUCCUGAAAAGCCAGCUUGAGCUGUGGUACUCCCUUCCUCUGCCUCCUAACAUCAGCCAUCAGCCUCCAGCUUCUCCCACCGCCUACUUCCUCCAGCCGUUCUGCCUCUGGAUGUCCUACCACCUUUUAAGUUUGUGUGCACCCAGCCACAGUGCAAGCAUCUAAAGCUCACAGGCUGUGGGGUGUACAAGAUGGUCUGGAGGGUGCUUGACGUGGAUGGCUGGUAUUAUAUGGGGACAGAAUACCUGGAGUGCCGCAUCUGUAAGAGGAAGCUAGCAGGAUGGUUGCUGGAUGUCUUGAACCAGCUUGGACGCAAGUCAUCGCGCUAAGUUCCCAGACAUCUUGACUUACAGAACUACCCACCACCAACGGACCAAGCAGCGGAGGAAGGAGCAGCAGCAGAGCUUUAAGGAGUUUUGGACUUGGGCGCAGAUACUAGCGGGAGAAGAACCAUGGAGGAAGGCCAGAGAGGAAAGAGAACGCUAUGUUGGGACACGGCUAGCAAGGAAGCCUGAGAGUCACC
Molecule: long non-coding RNA, 646 nt
Filed under: Salmo salar (Atlantic salmon)
Lineage: Eukaryota; Metazoa; Chordata; Actinopteri; Salmoniformes; Salmonidae
Description: lncRNA (ENSSSAG00000087237.1, ENSSSAG00020059268.1)
Source: RNAcentral